UAUAAGAGGUCCAGCCUGCCCAGUGACCGCAAGUUAAACGGCCGCGGUAUUUUAACCGUGCAAAGGUAGCGCAAUCACUUGUCUUUUAAAUAAAGACCUGUAUGAAUGGCUAAACGAGGGCUUAACUGUCUCCCAUUUCAAGUCAGUGAAAUUGAUUUACCCGUGCAGAAGCGGGUAUAAUAAUACAAGACGAGAAGACCCUUUGGAGCUUAAGGCGUAAAACUCAACCAUGUCAAGCAACUCAAUAAAAAGCAUCUUCAAACUUUGUGGUAAAUGAGACCACUGCCUUCGGUUGGGGCGACCACGGAGAAAAAGAAAGCCUCCAAGUGGAAUGGGGUAUACCCCCUAAAACCAAGAGAGACAUCUCUAAGCUACAGAAUAUCUGACCAUAAAUGAUCCGGUCGACCAAUGACCGAUCAACGAACCAAGUUACCCUAGGGAUAACAGCGCAAUCCUCUCCCAGAGUCCAUAUCGACGAGGGGGUUUACGACCUCGAUGUUGGAUCAGGACAUCCUAAUGGUGCAGCCGCUAUUAAGGGUUCGUUUGUUCAACGAUUAAAGUCCUACGUGA
Molecule: ribosomal RNA, 570 nt
Filed under: Enteromius callipterus (clipper barb)
Lineage: Eukaryota; Metazoa; Chordata; Actinopteri; Cypriniformes; Cyprinidae
Description: partial 16S ribosomal RNA
Rfam family: Bacterial large subunit ribosomal RNA
Source: RNAcentral